RNAcentral lists this ribosomal RNA (565 nucleotides) under uncultured archaeon. RNAcentral describes it as "bacterial SSU rRNA". It matches the Rfam family "Archaeal small subunit ribosomal RNA", at positions 326 to 897 of the family's 1478-position model. The record is from RNAcentral.
CGGGGUGCAGCAGGCGCGAAAACUUUGCAAUACACGAAAGUGUGACAGGGUCAUUCCGAGUGACGUCCGCUGAGGUCGUCUUUUACCCUGUCUAGAAAUAGGGGGGAAUAAGGAGAGGGCAAGUCUGGUGUCAGCCGCCGCGGUAAUACCAGCUCUCCGAGUGGUGUGGACGUUUAUUGGGCCUAAAGCAUCCGUAGCCGGUUGAACAAGUCCCCUGUUAAAUCCACCUACUUAAUAGAUGGUCUGCGGGGGAUACUGCUCGGCUAGGAGACGAGAGAGGCAGACGGUAUUCCCGGGGUAGGGGUGAAAUCCUAUAAUCCCGAGAAGACCACCAGUGGCGAAGGCGGUUUGCCAGAACGCGCUCGACGGUGAGGGAUGAAAGCUGGGGGAGCGAACCGGAUUAGAUACCCGGGUAGUCCCAGCUGUAGACGAUGCAGACUAGGUGUUUGGACGGCCACGAGCCAUUCCAGUGCCGCAGGGAAGCUGUUAAGUCUGCCGCCUGGGGAGUACGAUCGCAAGAUUGAAACUUAAAGGAAUUGGCGGGGGAGCACAAGGGCGAUUCGCG